GGCAGCGUGGUGUAAUGGCUAACACAACAGUCCGGUCUACUGAAGAUGCUGGUUCGCUCCCAGCCGCCA
Non-coding RNA from Meloidogyne enterolobii, 69 nucleotides. The record is from the annotation of a GenBank genome assembly. Lineage: Eukaryota; Metazoa; Nematoda; Chromadorea; Rhabditida; Meloidogynidae.